UAUCACAGCCACCUUUGAUGAGCUU
Molecule: non-coding RNA, 25 nt
Filed under: Drosophila melanogaster (fruit fly)
Lineage: Eukaryota; Metazoa; Arthropoda; Insecta; Diptera; Drosophilidae
Also listed under: 1 other name
Source: RNAcentral